Molecule: long non-coding RNA, 313 nt
Filed under: Mytilus galloprovincialis (Mediterranean mussel)
Lineage: Eukaryota; Metazoa; Mollusca; Bivalvia; Mytilida; Mytilidae
Source: RNAcentral
AAAAUAAAAAAACACCAACAGCAGAAGGUCACCAACAGGUCUUCAAUGUAGCGAGAAAUUCCCGCACCCGGAGGCGUCCUUCAGCUGGCCCCUAAACAAAUAUAUACUAGUUCAGUGAUAAUGAACGCCAUACUAAUUUCCAAAUUGUACACAAGAAACUAAAAUUUAAAUAAUACAAGACUAACAAAGGCCAGAGGCUCCUGACUUGGGACAGGCGCAAAAAAUGCGGCGGGGUUAAACAUGUUUGUGAGAUCUCAACCCUCCCCCUAUACCUCUAACCAGUGUAGAAAAGUAAAAGCAUAACAAUACGCAC